RNAcentral lists this ribosomal RNA (288 nucleotides) under Salmonella enterica subsp. enterica serovar Dublin. RNAcentral's name for it is "partial 23S ribosomal RNA". It matches the Rfam family "Bacterial large subunit ribosomal RNA", at positions 485 to 674 of the family's 2925-position model. The record is from RNAcentral. Lineage: Bacteria; Pseudomonadati; Pseudomonadota; Gammaproteobacteria; Enterobacterales; Enterobacteriaceae.
CGAUAGUGAACCAGUACCGUGAGGGAAAGGCGAAAAGAACCCCGGCGAGGGGAGUGAAAAAGAACCUGAAACCGUGUACGUACAAGCAGUGGGAGCCCCACCACUAAGCCAGUGGUGAACUCCACAUACGCAUCCUUUGCUGAGGAUACGGUUAACGGAGCGAAAGCGACGUUCAACCGCAAAAGAAGCAGAGGGGGCUUAGUGGUGGGGUGACUGCGUACCUUUUGUAUAAUGGGUCAGCGACUUAUAUUCUGUAGCAAGGUUAACCGAAUAGGGGAGCCGGAGGGA